GACGAACGCUGGCGGCGUGCUUAACACAUGCAAGUCGAACGGAAAGGCCUGCUUUCCCUUGUGGAUUGCGGGUACUCGAGUGGCGAACGGGUGAGUAACACGUGAGUGAUCUGCCCCCAACUUGGGUAUAAGCCUGGGAAACUGGGUCUAAUUCCCGAUAGGACUGCAGGGUGGUGCCUGUGGUGGAAAACGAUUUUCUAGUGGUUGGGGAUGAGCUCGCGGCCUAUCAGCUUGUUGGUGGGGUAAUGGCCUACCAAGGCGGCGACGGGUAGCCGGCCUGAGAGGGUGGACGGCCACAUUGGGACUGAGAUACGGCCCAGACUCCGACGGGAGGCAGCAGUGGGGGAUAAUGCACAAUGGGCGGAAGCCUGAUGCAGCGACGCCGCGUGGGGGAUGACGGCCUUCGGGUUGUAAACUCCUUUCGACCGCGAGGAAGCCACCUGGUUGGAAGGGUGGUGACGGUAGUGGUAGAAGAAGCACCGGCUAACUACGUG
RNAcentral lists this ribosomal RNA (494 nucleotides) under uncultured bacterium. RNAcentral's name for it is "partial 16S ribosomal RNA". It matches the Rfam family "Bacterial small subunit ribosomal RNA", at positions 28 to 507 of the family's 1533-position model. The record is from RNAcentral.